This 711-nucleotide long non-coding RNA is filed under the name Gallus gallus (chicken). RNAcentral's name for it is "lncRNA (ENSGALG00010013555.1)". Lineage: Eukaryota; Metazoa; Chordata; Aves; Galliformes; Phasianidae. The record is from RNAcentral.
GUAAAUCCAAGAAUGUUAUCCACAUUUGUUAAUCCCUAAAAAUGAAAACAUACUGUGCUAUAUAAAAAGGAAACAGAAGUGAGGUGACGCUACUCCCACCCUAUUAAUAUAUUCUGGUGUUUGGUUUGUUCUCCUGGGUUACUUCAAUUUCCCACCGAGCUUUCAUGACCAAUGCCUUGACUGUUGAUUCAAAACUCGUGUUGACUGAAGGGUGCACUCAAUCCCACCAUUGGUGUCAUUGAUGAAGAUGUUAAAGAGCACCGGUCCAAGUAAUGACCCUUGUGGGACACCACUUGUCACCAAUCUCCGUCUGGACAUUGAGCCAUUGGCCACCACUCUCUGGUUACGAUCUCAUGACCAGUUUCUCAUCCAUCAAAGAGUUUACCCAUCAAAUCCAUAUAUUUCCAAUUAGGAGAGAAGGAUGUUGUGUGUGACCAUGUCAAAGACCCUACCGAAUCCAGGUAUGUUACACUGGUGGCUCUUCCCUUGUCCACUGACACAGUGAUAUCAUCAUAAAAAGCAACAGGGCUGAUCAGGCAGGACCUGAGCCGGUGAAGCCAUGCUGGUUAUCCCAUAUCACCUCCCUGUUUUCCAUGUACCUUAGCAUAGCUUCCAGGAGGAUUUGCACCAUGCUUUUCCCUGGCACAGAGGCGAGGCUAACAGUCAGCAGCUCUCUGAGUCAUCCUUUCUGUCCUUCUUGAAAAUGGGUGC